AAUAAUGUUUAGUUUCACCGAAUGGGGUUAGAUGGUUAGACGGAUUUAGAAUAUUAAUAACAUGUGAACUUUAUAACAAUUAAAUAACCAUUUGAUAGAAAACUUUUAAAUUGAUUUGAAUUAUAUAUCUUUUAAAUUAAAGUAUUAUUAAGAAUAAAUAACAAAAUAAUGUUUAAUUUCACUGAACGGGGUUAGAUGGUAUGACGGGUUUGAGUCGAUAGUAAUAUUAGAUGUUAUACUAUAGGUGAAAUCAUAAAUAUAACAAUA
This 267-nucleotide small RNA is filed under the name Arabidopsis thaliana (thale cress). RNAcentral's name for it is "ATSL191610". Lineage: Eukaryota; Viridiplantae; Streptophyta; Magnoliopsida; Brassicales; Brassicaceae. The record is from RNAcentral.